CUAACGUUAGCUUCAUCGACAGUUAAUGCUAAACUAAGCUAACGGGUGUACUAAGGACAAACAUGCUAACUCUUACUCCCAAAACGUCGAGUUCUUCCUUCAGCUAACACAGAGAGGACACUGUUGCUCCAAAAACCCCAGCCUCUGCAGCCAUGUUGGGAUCAACAGCUCCCAAUUCCCCGAGCCUUGCUGAUAACUCUCAUCCUGCUUCCAGGACUGAAUCAUUUUUUG
Epinephelus fuscoguttatus (brown-marbled grouper) is the source of this 231-nucleotide long non-coding RNA. RefSeq lists it as uncharacterized. The record is from RefSeq and is a predicted model, not a curated record. NCBI's taxonomy places the organism in Eukaryota, Metazoa, Chordata, Actinopteri, Perciformes, Serranidae. The transcript has 3 exons.